AAAAAAAAAAAAAAAAAAAGGCUUCUUAGCAUACCCAGAUCAUAAACCAACAUCAGAUGAUACAAUUGACAAGUAAACUUGACCAUGCCAACCAAAAGAAGCACCAGAGAAUCUAACCCAAAGGCAAGGGGAAAAAAAAAAAGAACACAAAAAACAUACUUUAACAGCUUUAUCAUCUGUACAUUAUGAUCGUUACAGAUCGUGAUAUAACAAUUAAGAAACGAAGAUUACACAUGAUAUAGGGCCAUGAUGGCUCAAAGCUCAUUUGCAUCUGUCAAUAAUUGAAGAGAGUCCCAAGGUUUUAUAAGCAUAAAUAUUAAAAUUGGGAUCAAAUUGAAGAGAAGAGAGUGAAUUUCUAAUCAAAGAUUGCUCUGUUCUCUCAAAGUGAAAGACAGCAUAAAAAUAUUGCAAAUUGGGUCUAACUUGAAGGCAAUUACAAGAGAAAAAAGAGAAAAGUAAGAGACUUUCUUUUGGUCG
This 477-nucleotide unclassified non-coding RNA is filed under the name Hevea brasiliensis (rubber tree). The record is from RNAcentral. Lineage: Eukaryota; Viridiplantae; Streptophyta; Magnoliopsida; Malpighiales; Euphorbiaceae.